RNAcentral lists this long non-coding RNA (2985 nucleotides) under Gossypium barbadense (sea-island cotton). RNAcentral's name for it is "long non-coding RNA (GBAR_LNC001765)". The record is from RNAcentral. Lineage: Eukaryota; Viridiplantae; Streptophyta; Magnoliopsida; Malvales; Malvaceae.
AAUAAUUGGCAUAUCUCGCAAUUCAUAUAAUAAAUCAUAUCAUCAUAAUUUAACCAAAUAUUUGGAACCAUAAGAUGUCAAAACCUAUAUUAUAGAACCAAAUUUAAAACUAAAUUCUUUAAACAUAUAUUAUGGUUAACAUGAAUUUACAUCAAAAUACCCACAAAAUUAAAUAUAUAUCCAAAAAAAAUGUAAAACUAAUUCAACAAAUACUUGCACAUAUACCUAUUGAAAAUUCUUUUAAUGCAUUAGUAUUUUGAAAGCGGAUAUAGUCAAACUAAAAUAAUGUGUAUAAUCCCUUGGGGAGCUUACACCCAAAGAUUGGAUCUUUCUUAAUAUUGAUGGUGCUGUUUCAAGAACAUCAAGAAGAGCAGCUGCUGGAGGAGUGGUACGGGAUGGUACUAGCCAUUGGGUGAUGGGUUAUAACAGAUUCCUAGGGAAUUGUUCGAUUUUUGAUGCAGAACUCUGGGGCAUUCUGGAUGGCUUGAAACUCAUCCAACGUAGAGGUCAUAGAAACGUGAUUAUUCAUUCAGAUAGCUUGGAGGUAGUCAAAGCUAUUCAUGAUAAUGCUUCGAAGAGCUCGACUUUUGCUCUGAUCAGGAGAAUACACCAGAUUUUGUCCCAAAAAAGUCAAUGGAUUUUAAGAUACAUUCCCAGGGAGGAGAAUCAAUGUGCAGACUAUCUUGCUAAAUUGGCUCUUGAAAGAGAGGAAGAUUUACAACUGAUUAAGAUUUCCCCAGAUGCAGUUUUAGAUUUCCUUAAGACAGAUAAAGAGAGGAUUUUUGCUCCUCUCGAUUAUUCCAUGUAAUCUUAAUUUUAUUUUUUUUUUCAAAAAAAAUGUGUAUAAUCACAUUAAUUACUAAAAACUUUCUCAGACCAACACCUUUAAAUUACUAAAUAAUCAAAUAGAAAUUGAAACAUAAGUAAACCCCAAAAUAUAUACUUAAAGAUUUUAACAAAACUAUAUAUCUACGAUAUCUUAAAAAAGAAUAGUAGACUGAUAUUAUAGAUGCAUGUACCUUGACAGCAUGUAUUUAUCCAAUUAUCAACUGAAUUCACCUAAAUCUAUGCCAUUACAAAUCACAUACAUUGAAUGUAUUCCAAAAUAAUAUAUAUAUAGAUUAAUCAAAUAAAAAACCGAAAAAAAAACAGAAACUCGUGUGCUUAAUUGAUAACCCAUGGAAACAGAAAAUUGCUUCGACUUUUCAAAGAAAAAAAAUCAACCUAAACUGCAUUUGAAUUUUCAAUUAAAUUGUUUUAGUACCAAACGAAAAACUAAACUAAUGGAGGAAAUCAAUAUAUGAAUUUUAUUGUAAAUUACCUCAACCAUUAAUACUCAUAUAUCAAUUAAAUUAAAUCACAUUAUCUUCCUACAUUAAUAAAACUUUAAAAAAUUUAAUCAAUAAAAAAAAACCCAAAAAUUCAACAUGAUAUAUAAUUGAAAUAUUAGAUCUAUAAAAUUUGAAAAUCGAAUCAAUCCAAAUUAAUAGAGAACCGAUUUUUUCUCAAUGAUUUAACAUAACAAGGCUUUGAUACCGCUUAUUAGAUUUUUUAAAUAUUAAUAUAAAAUUAAAAUUGUAAAUCAGGAUAUGUCAUGUCAAAUAAUCAAUAAUAAAUCAAGAAUAAAACUAAAUGCAAAAGCGUACCUGAAUUCUUCGAUUUCUUGAAAUCUACAUAUCUUAAGGUUUUGAUAUUUCAAAUUAGCAUAUAAGUAAUCUAGAGAAUGUGACUCUCUUUUUCUAAAGAUUGGGAUAUUAAAAAAGUUAUAUUGUGUGUAAUUUAGGGACCAUAACCCUAAUAUAUAUAACUUUGGCACAUUAGUCUUAAUUUCUAAUUAUCCCAUCAUCAAUUAGAAAUUACUUACUAGAGUAUCUACACAUAUUUGACUCGUACUUUAUUUAAUAAUUAAAGUCUAAUAAACCUUAACCAAAUUAGACCACUUUUAAUUUGGACUAACCUAUCAUCAUUGUAAAAAAUAACAUGUAAUUACCCUUAUUAUAUAUGCGAUGUCCAUAUUUUACAAUAAUUUUAACUUCAAUAAGUAUGCGAGCUGUUGCAUGAUUUGCCAUCUUGCAACAAGUAUGUAUUAUCUUUGGAUCUAGGCCCAUUUGUUUUGGAUAUGUAGAUAAACAAAACGAAAUAAAUCGAAAGAUAACAUAGAAAACUGUCCUAUGAAACUAUUAAAUCAACUUGUGAUUAAAUUCCUUGCGGGACUUUUACAAAACUUACCUUUAGAAUCGUCAAUGGCCGAAGAAUGACGGAGAAUCAAGUACGCCAGAACUCCAAAACAUAUCCUUCUGUCCCACGAACUAACUUGAUUAAUUACCAUACAUGGAACAUUUCAAUUCAUUAUUUGGUCAAAUAUAAGCUGAUUGAGGGGGUGUUGGUUUAUCUUUGGACAGUGCUGUGUCUAUUGUGUUGGUGUUUGGUUUUGUAUCGACUCUUGUUAUAAUUUCUUGGUUAGUUUCAAUUUUGGGGGCUUACUAAAGCUCUAUUUUGACUGAAGAAAAAUAUAGGUUGAUCGAGCCUUAGCUCAAUCAUGGAUAGGAUUCCAAAAUUUGGCCAAUUUCAUUGGUUGGUGAAUAUCCUAUGGGGGAAAGAGGGACUGUGGACAAUAACCAACUGGUGACAACCUUUUCGUAUUGAAAUUCUGGUACGAGAAUGAUAGGAACAUGGUGUUGGAGCUUGGACCAUGGCACAUACAAAACUGGACCAUGGCACAUACAAAACAAGCCAAUAAGGCAAUGACAUUGACAAGCAGACAAGGCAAUGACAUUGACAACCCAGCAAGAUAUCUUUGGUGUUUCAACAUGUCUAUUUGAAUCCAAAAAGCAACAUCCGAUCAGAGCUAUUCAGGGAGAGAGGCUUAAGCUAGAUGACUAGUGCAGUAGGAACCACAUUGUAUAUGGACAUGGUAACUGCAAAUUGAGAACGAGUAGAGGAUGCCAAGAUAUGUGAUUAUUAGGAUCACAUGAAUUAUAUCAC